AUUUGUCUGGUUAAUUCCGAUAACGAACGAGACCUUAACCUGCUAACUAGACUUUCUCAUUUUAUGAAUAAGUCUUCUUAGAGGGACUAUAUGCUUUAAGUAUAUGGAAGUUUGAGGCAAUAACAGGUCUGUGAUGCCCUUAUAUGUCCUGGGCUGCACGCGUGCUACACUGAUGUAUACAACAAGUGCCUAGCUAGAUAUAGUAUGGCAAUCUCGAAUAUGCAUCGUGAUGGGGAUAGAUCUUUGCAAUUAUAGAUCUUGAACGAGGAAUUCCUAGUAAGUGCAAGUCAUCAUCUUGCAUUGAUUAUGUCCCUGCCCUUUGUACACACCGCCCGUCGCUCCUACCGAUACCGGGUGAUCCGGUGAACCUUUUGGACCCUUUUGAGAAAAACAAGUAAAUCAUAUCACCUAGAGGAAGGAGAAGUCGUAACAAGGUUUCCGUAGGUGAACCUGCRGAAGGAUCA
RNAcentral lists this ribosomal RNA (464 nucleotides) under uncultured ciliate. Its description in RNAcentral is "SSU rRNA". It matches the Rfam family "Eukaryotic small subunit ribosomal RNA". Lineage: Eukaryota; Ciliophora. The record is from RNAcentral.